AUCCCAUGGAAGAUUAUAUUCUUGUUCCAAUAUUGGCAAAAGUUGUCACCAUUUAAUUAGUAUCAGAUUCUGACUUGCACAAGUAACAUUC
RNAcentral lists this small nucleolar RNA (91 nucleotides) under Nannospalax galili (Upper Galilee mountains blind mole rat). RNAcentral describes it as "Small nucleolar RNA SNORA24 (ENSNGAG00000009771.1)". It matches the Rfam family "Small nucleolar RNA SNORA24", at positions 46 to 131 of the family's 131-position model. Rfam says of the family: ACA24 is a member of the H/ACA class of snoRNA that guide the sites of modification of uridines to pseudouridines. Lineage: Eukaryota; Metazoa; Chordata; Mammalia; Rodentia; Spalacidae. The record is from Rfam by way of RNAcentral.